This 200-nucleotide unclassified non-coding RNA is filed under the name soil metagenome. Its description in RNAcentral is "partial contains internal transcribed spacer 2 and large subunit ribosomal RNA". The record is from RNAcentral.
GGCGCAAGCCGGCUCGCUUUAAAUGGAUGAGUCGUCUGGCGUGUGUCCUUACAAGCGUGAUAGUUAUUUCGUUUGGCUUGGCGCGUUUAGAUGGCUUUCUAACUCGGACGAUUGGGGAGCGGUGCAUUCACGUGCCGACCCUCAAGCGGCCAUUUUUACCCACAGACCUCAAAUCAGGUAGGACUACCCGCUGAACUUAA